GCCAUAGCUCAGUGGUAGGCCAUCUGCCUUGCAUGCAGAAAGUUCCAUGUUUGAUCCCUGGUGUCCA
Podarcis lilfordi (Lilford's wall lizard) is the source of this 67-nucleotide non-coding RNA. Lineage: Eukaryota; Metazoa; Chordata; Lepidosauria; Squamata; Lacertidae. The record is from the annotation of a GenBank genome assembly.